CGCUCCUACGGGGCGCAGCAGUGAGGAAUAUUGGUCAAUGGACGAGAGUCUGAACCAGCCAAGUAGCGUGAAGGAUGACUGCCCUAUGGGUUGUAAACUUCUUUUAUAUGGGAAUAAAGUUUUCCACGUGUGGAAUUUUGUAUGUACCAUAUGAAUAAGGAUCGGCUAACUCCGUGCCAGCAGCCGCGGUAAUACGGAGGAUCCGAGCGUUAUCCGGAUUUAUUGGGUUUAAAUGGAGCGUAGAUGGGUUGUUAAGUCAGUUGUGAAAGUUUGCGGCUCAACCGUAAAAUUGCAAUUGAUACUGG
This 305-nucleotide ribosomal RNA is filed under the name uncultured bacterium. RNAcentral's name for it is "bacterial SSU rRNA". It matches the Rfam family "Bacterial small subunit ribosomal RNA", at positions 334 to 636 of the family's 1533-position model. The record is from RNAcentral.